GAUGAACGCUGGCGGCGUGCCUAAUACAUGCAAGUCGAGCGAACAGAUAAGGAGCUUGCUCCUUUGACGUUAGCGGCGGACGGGUGAGCAACACGUGGGUAACCUACCUAUAAGACUGGGAUAACUUCGGGAAACCGGAGCUAAUACCGGAUAAUAUUUCGAACCGCAUGGUUCGAUAGUGAAAGAUGGUUUUGCUAUCACUUAUAGAUGGACCCGCGCCGUAUUAGCUAGUUGGUAAGGUAACGGCUUACCAAGGCGACGAUACGUAGCCGACCUGAGAGGGUGAUCGGCCACACUGGAACUGAGACACGGUCCAGACUCCUACGGGAGGCAGCAGUAGGGAAUCUUCCGCAAUGGGCGAAAGCCUGACGGAGCAACGCCGCGUGAGUGAUGAAGGUCUUCGGAUCGUAAAACUCUGUUAUUAGGGAAGAACAUACGUGUAAGUAACUGUGCACGUCUUGACGGUACCUAAUCAGAAAGCCACGGCUAACUACGUG
Molecule: ribosomal RNA, 497 nt
Filed under: uncultured bacterium
Lineage: Bacteria
Description: partial 16S ribosomal RNA
Rfam family: Bacterial small subunit ribosomal RNA
Source: RNAcentral